RNAcentral lists this ribosomal RNA (464 nucleotides) under uncultured bacterium. Its description in RNAcentral is "bacterial SSU rRNA". It matches the Rfam family "Bacterial small subunit ribosomal RNA", at positions 917 to 1382 of the family's 1533-position model. The record is from RNAcentral.
GGGCCCGCACAAGUGGUGGAGCAUGUGGUUUAAUUCGAAGCAACGCGAAGAACCUUACCAGGUCUUGACAUCCUCUGACAACCCUAGAGAUAGGGCUUUCCCUUCGGGGACAGAGUGACAGGUGGUGCAUGGUUGUCGUCAGCUCGUGUCGUGAGAUGUUGGGUUAAGUCCCGCAACGAGCGCAACCCUUGAUCUUAGUUGCCAGCAUUUAGUUGGGCACUCUAAGGUGACUGCCGGUGACAAACCGGAGGAAGGUGGGGAUGACGUCAAAUCAUCAUGCCCCUUAUGACCUGGGCUACACACGUGCUACAAUGGAUAGUACAAAGGGUUGCAAGACCGCGAGGUGGAGCUAAUCCCAUAAAACUAUUCUCAGUUCGGAUUGUAGGCUGCAACUCGCCUACAUGAAGCCGGAAUCACUAGUAAUCGCGGAUCAGCAUGCCGCGGUGAAUACGUUCCCGGGCCUU